This 78-nucleotide non-coding RNA is filed under the name Escherichia albertii. RNAcentral describes it as "Nucleoid-associated noncoding RNA 4 (CssrE)". It matches the Rfam family "Nucleoid-associated noncoding RNA 4 (CssrE)". From Rfam's summary of the family: In E. coli small RNA transcribed from repeated extragenic palindromic element (REP325) called nucleoid-associated ncRNA 4 (nRNA4) collaborates HU protein in condensing the DNA. The record is from RNAcentral. Lineage: Bacteria; Pseudomonadati; Pseudomonadota; Gammaproteobacteria; Enterobacterales; Enterobacteriaceae.
GGCCGGAUAAGGCGUUUACGCCGCAUCCGGCAGUCGGUGCACAAUGCCUGAGGCGACACUGACACGUCUUAUCAGGCC